UAGUCCACGCCGUAAACGAUGGUCACUAGUUGUUGGGGCUUUAUGCCUCAGUGAUUAAGCGAAAGUGAUAAGUGACCCACCUGGGGAGUACGAUCGCAAGAUUGAAACUCAAAGGAAUUGACGGGGGCCCGCACAAGCGGUGGAGCAUGUGGUUUAAUUCGAUGAUACGCGAGGAACCUUACCAGGGCUUAAAUGUAAGUUGCAUAGACCAGAGAUGGUCUUUUCUUCGGACUACUUACAAGGUGCUGCAUGGUUGUCGUCAGCUCGUGCCGUGAGGUGUCAGGUUAAGUCCUAUAACGAGCGCAACCCCUACCGUUAGUUGCCAGCAAGUAAAGUUGGGGACUCUAGCGGGACUGCCGGUGCAAACCGAGAGGAAAGUGGGGAUGACGUCAAAUCAUCACGGCCCUUACGUCUUGGGCUACACACGUGCUACAAUGGUAGGGACAGAGAGUCGCAAACUAGUGAUAGUGAGCUAAUCUUCAAACCCUAUCUCAGUUCGGA
RNAcentral lists this ribosomal RNA (501 nucleotides) under uncultured bacterium. RNAcentral describes it as "bacterial SSU rRNA". It matches the Rfam family "Bacterial small subunit ribosomal RNA", at positions 791 to 1297 of the family's 1533-position model. The record is from RNAcentral.